This is a long non-coding RNA of Plodia interpunctella (Indianmeal moth), 2217 nucleotides long. RefSeq lists it as uncharacterized. NCBI's taxonomy places the organism in Eukaryota, Metazoa, Arthropoda, Insecta, Lepidoptera, Pyralidae. The record is from RefSeq and is a predicted model, not a curated record. The transcript has 2 exons.
GUCAAACAUUGAGGUUAUAAGAAAAAUGAGUUGCGCAAUUUGUAUUAUACCAAGGCUCCACCCUGCAAACGUUUUUUGUAUGGAAUAUCUCAGAAAAGGUGGAGUUUUUGAGGUUGGAUAUGCGUGCCAAUGGUCUGACUACUACCAAAGACCAUGUGAAGGGGAGAAUAAAGCUAGGAAAGCGGAUCCUGGGCUCCGACGCUCUAUAGCUCUGGGAAGAAACUGGGACUGCGGUCAAAUGAAACAGAUGGCAAACAUCACGAACUGUGGGUGUUAAAUUAAACACUUAAACACCCAUAUUUUUCAGAGAAAUUGUAUAUAUUUUGGAAAUAAUAAAUUUAUAUAUCUAUACUAUUAUUUUAAGCAUUUGUUAGUGAGAGAGACUUUGUGAGUUUGAGGCGGGUAAGCUCCAAAACUACUGAAAAAUUUUUCAAGAUAUUAUCCAAUAUAUAAGAAUUUAUCCAAGAUUGCUAUAGGCUAUAUUUUAUCUCAAAAUUCCCACGGGAGCGAAGCCGCGGGCAACAUCUAGUACUAAUAAAAACCUUAGUAUAAAUUCAAACCUUAGUGGUAUCAAUAUGCUAAGUUAAUUACUUAAUGUUUUGUAAUAUCUUUUAUAAGAUAAUUAAUUAAUAAAAUAAUUUAAAAAAAAAACUAUAUUUUCCCGUGACAUGACAUAUAUUUCGGAAAUCAUAAAUGUAUAAAUAUAUUUUUAAUACUUACUUAAAUAUAUUUUUAUGUAACUCUAAUCUUCAGACAUAUAAAAAUAACAUCCUUGUUUCGUUUUAACGUGAAAAAGACAAACAAAAUAACAAAAUACAUACAUCUGUAGUAUACUAUAUUUACAAUCUUAAAUAUAUAUAUAUAUAUAUAUAUAUAUAUAUAUAUAUAUAAUUUAAGUACUUAUGUAACUACCUACACGUGUAACGCAGCUACGCUUUGUUUGGAAUCUCUUUCGAUGUAUUUCGCCUGCGCUGGCACAUUUGGAUCUACUGUCAUAAAUUUUAAAAUUCUAAAUCCGCUCGAACACUUUGCCGCGUAAACAUUACGACCAAGCUAGCGAGGCAAGAGGGUGGCCGUGAUAAAUUUAUAAACAUUAAACAAAAUGAUAAGAACAGACCCAAUAAGGGUAAGUGCUCCAUUUAUUCUGAAUAUAUAUAACGUAUCACCUAAUCUCUAUUUUAGAAUUUUAAUUUAUAUUUAAUUGCUCUAGGUCUUACCUUAAAUUUUAUAAUAAACUGACUUCACUACCUACUGCCUAGUGCCUAUUUACUAUCAAACCCACAAUAAAACCCCGACACACGUAAGACUCAAGUAAAUUUAAUUCUAUGUAUAUUAAAUACAGAUUAUAUCACCCUGUACAUAGCCACAGCCGCCUGUAUAACCGUCGGAUCCCGUCACAACGCGAUAUGUCUAUUAACCAUAAGCCGCUUAGUGUAAGUUCGAUUCUCAGUUUAAAAAUAAAACUAUUGUGUACAGAAUGUUUUGGGCUAGGUCAUAAGCGGCGGCGAAUUUAAUAAAUUAUAUUUUAAAUAUACAUGUAUGUUUGUAUUCUUUUGGUAACAUAUAAUAUCAGUAUUAGAAAAUAUAAUAAGUAUUUUGUAUAUUAUAAAUUAUGUUUGUAAUUAAAUAUAAGAAAUUUACUGUCACCCAUGUACAGACAACAGCACAUCAACCUACCCAAAUUCAUUGCAAGUUCGCCGCUAUUACCACGACAUAGAGGUACAUACAGGGUAACUUGAUGUACUAUUGACUGCACUCCGAUUUUUUUAUAAACUUGUAAACUCGUCGUCUCAAAAUAAUUCAAUUGUUACCCUAUAAUCCUCACAUGAGAAUCCUGCACGAAAUAUUUCACAACAAUUUCUAUUUUUUUUUUAAACAGCAGUAUUAUAUAGUGGAAAAACGAGCAUGUGGAUUACCAGAUGGUAAGCAAAGACCGCAGUCCAUAGAUCAGGAGAAAUGAAAAUAAUUGCCAAGUGUGAGUGAUGUGACUUUAGAAUUUUACAGAAUCGCAAAGCAGCAGUCCGAUGUGGGUCACCAAUGCGCUGUAGAUUUUUUGAGAAAGCGAUAAACUCUUUUCUCGCCCACGGCCUUUGCCGAAACUAAUUUUUAAGUUUCAAAUAUGGAGAAGUUAUUGUUUGAUAUCCAUGAGUUGAUAUCCUAAAAUAGUGAUUUCUUUUUUUAGAGAGUGUUAAUGCUAACACUAAUGUCGGACUUUAU